GGGUUGUGAGGUUAAGCGACUAAGCGUACACGGUGGAUGCCCUGGCAGUCAGAGGCGAUGAAGGACGUGCUAAUCUGCGAUAAGCGUCGGUAAGGUGAUAUGAACCGUUAUAACCGGCGAUUUCCGAAUGGGGAAACCCAGUGUGAUUCGUCACACUAUCAUUAACUGAAUCCAUAGGUUAAUGAGGCGAACCGGGGGAACUGAAACAUCUAAGUACCCCGAGGAAAAGAAAUCAACCGAGAUUCCCCCAGUAGCGGCGAGCGAACGGGGAGGAGCCCAGAGCCUGAAUCAGUGUGUGUGUUAGUGGAAGCGUUUGGAAAGGCGCGCGAUA
RNAcentral lists this ribosomal RNA (331 nucleotides) under Escherichia coli. Its description in RNAcentral is "partial 23S ribosomal RNA". It matches the Rfam family "Bacterial large subunit ribosomal RNA", at positions 1 to 359 of the family's 2925-position model. Lineage: Bacteria; Pseudomonadati; Pseudomonadota; Gammaproteobacteria; Enterobacterales; Enterobacteriaceae. The record is from RNAcentral.